Molecule: non-coding RNA, 21 nt
Organism: Caenorhabditis elegans
Lineage: Eukaryota; Metazoa; Nematoda; Chromadorea; Rhabditida; Rhabditidae
Source: Ensembl
UAUUCCAGUAUCCAAUCAUAA